GAUGAAGAACGCAGCGAAAUGCGAUAAGUAAUGUGAAUUGCAGAAUUCAGUGAAUCAUCGAAUCUUUGAACGCACCUUGCGCCCUUUGGCCAUUCCGAAGGGCAUGCCUGUUUGGGUAUCAUGAACACCUCAACUCUCAUGGCUCGCCAUGAUGAGCUUGGAUUUGGGGGUCUUGCUGGCCUGUGGUCGGCUCCUCUCAAAUGGAUCAGCUUGCCAGUGUUUGGUGGCAUCACAGGUGUGAUAACUAUCUGCGCUUGUGGUUUUCCAUCAGAUAACCUUCAGUGAUGGAGGUUCGCUGGAGCUCAUAAACGUCUCCCCUAAGCGGGGACAGCCCUUUGAAUGUUUGAUCUCAAAUCAGGUAGGACUACCCGCUGAACUUAAGCAUAUCAAUAAGCGGAGGA
RNAcentral lists this unclassified non-coding RNA (401 nucleotides) under soil metagenome. RNAcentral describes it as "partial contains 5.8S ribosomal RNA, internal transcribed spacer 2, and large subunit ribosomal RNA". The stretch from base 1 to 121 matches the Rfam family "5.8S ribosomal RNA", at positions 35 to 154 of the family's 154-position model. The record is from RNAcentral.